RNAcentral lists this ribosomal RNA (520 nucleotides) under uncultured bacterium. Its description in RNAcentral is "bacterial SSU rRNA". It matches the Rfam family "Bacterial small subunit ribosomal RNA", at positions 29 to 526 of the family's 1533-position model. The record is from RNAcentral.
AACGAACGCUGGCGGCGUGGAUAAGACAUGCAAGUCGAACGAGACUUUUCGUUGUAGCAAUACGAUGGAAAGUUUAGUGGCGAACGGGUGCUUAACACGUGGGCAACCUGCCAUGAAGUGGGGGAUAGCUCGCCGAAAGGCGAAUUAAUACCGCAUGUGAUUAGAGAGGACAUCCUUUCGAAAUCAAAGUCGGGGCAACCUGACGCUUCUUGUGGGGCCCGCGGCCUAUCAGCUAGUUGGUGAGGUAACGGCUCACCAAGGCUUUGACGGGUAGCUGGUCUGAGAGGACGACCAGCCACACUGGGACUGAGACACGGCCCAGACACCUACGGGUGGCAGCAGUCGAGAAUUUUUGACAAUGGGGGAAACCCUGAUCGAGCGACGCCGCGUGGAGGAUGAAGGUCUUCGGAUUGUAAACUCCUGUCAUUGGGGAACAAGUCGCUUACGUUAACUGCGUGAGCGUUGAUAGUACCCGAAGAGGAAGAGACGGCUAACUCUGUGCCAGCAGCCGCCGUAACAC